Molecule: RNA transcript, 967 nt
Organism: Orcinus orca (killer whale)
Lineage: Eukaryota; Metazoa; Chordata; Mammalia; Artiodactyla; Delphinidae
Gene: PTGDS
Gene name: prostaglandin D2 synthase
Exons: 7
Source: RefSeq, a predicted model, not a curated record
UCCCCGGUGGCCUCCGCGCCUCCUGCCUGCCUCUCUGCCUGCGCUGCCUGCUCGGCUCUGGGAGAAUGGCCGCUCUGAACAUUCUGUGGACAGGGCUGGCCCUGCUGGGGGUCCUGGGGGUCCUGCAGAUUCCAACCCAGGCCCAGGCCGCCCUGCAGCCCAACUUCCAAGAGGACAAGUUCCUGGGGCUCUGGUUCACCUCGGGCCUCGCCUCCAACUCGAGCUGGUUCCUGGAGAAGAAGAAGGCGCUGUCCAUGUGCAAGUCGGUGGUGGCCCCCGCGGCAGACGGUGGCCUCAAUCUCACGUCUACCUUCCUCAGGAAAGACCAGUGUGAGACCCGGACUCUGCUGCUGCGUCCUGCAGGCCCCCCAGGCUGCUACAGCUAUACCAGCCCCCACUGGAGCGGCAACCACGAGGUGUCGGUGGUGGAGACGGACUACGAGGCCUAUGCCCUGCUCUACACCGAGAGCUUCCGAGGCCCCGGCCAGGACUUCCGCAUGGCCACGCUCUACAGCCGCACCCAGGCCCCCACAGCUGAGAUCAAGGAGAAAUUCGCCACCUUCGCCAAGGCCCAGGGCUUCACAGAGGAUAGCAUUGUCUUCCUGCCACAGACUGACAAGUGCAUGGAGGAGAACACGUAGGUGAGUGGGGUGCUGGGGGCUGCCUUCACCCAGCGGUGCCCACCCAUGCGUUCCUUCACUCACUUGGUCGCUCGGCGCACGCUCCCCACAGCCCCACCCACCACGCAAGGCUGGUCCAGGCCCCUGGGGCUGCUCCGAGGAGGAGGGGGCUCCACUGGGGUUCCGCGAGGUCGUUGGGGUGACCCCAGCCCUCAGGACCUGGCCAUGCUGCCCUGCUCCGCCUUUUCCUUCAACACCCCCAAGACCCCAGCCCCAGCUCCUGCGCCACCGGCCCUGCCCCCUCGGGCUUUAUCCCAGCUCUGAGAAUAAACUCCGGAAGCAAGUCA